This 415-nucleotide ribosomal RNA is filed under the name uncultured prokaryote. RNAcentral describes it as "bacterial SSU rRNA". It matches the Rfam family "Bacterial small subunit ribosomal RNA", at positions 505 to 918 of the family's 1533-position model. The record is from RNAcentral.
GUGUCAGCAGCCGCGGUAAUACGGAGGGUGCAAGCGUUGUUCGGAAUUAUUGGGCGUAAAGCGCGUGUAGGUGGUCAGGUAAGUCAGAUGUGAAAGCCUUCUGCUUAACAGAAGAAGUGCAUUUGAAACUGCUUGGCUAGAGUACGGGAGAGGAGGGUGGAAUUCCCGGAGUAGAGGUGAAAUUCGUAGAUAUCGGGAGGAACACCAGUGGCGAAGGCGGCUCUCUGGUCUGAUACUGACACUGAGACGCGAAAGCGGGGGGAGCAAACAGGAUUAGAUACCCUGGUAGUCCACGCUGUAAACGAUGGGCACUAGGUGUAGGAGGUAUUGACCCCUUCUGUGCCGAAGCUAACGCAUUAAGUGCCCCGCCUGGGGAGUACGGCCGCAAGGCUAAAACUUAAAUGAAUUGACGGGG